Mercenaria mercenaria is the source of this 6255-nucleotide long non-coding RNA. RefSeq lists it as uncharacterized. Lineage: Eukaryota; Metazoa; Mollusca; Bivalvia; Venerida; Veneridae. The record is from RefSeq and is a predicted model, not a curated record. The transcript has 2 exons.
AAGGUCAAAGGUUUGAGCUCUAUAUCUCCUAAACCCCUUGAAGGAUUUUAAUGAAACUUGGGCCAAAUGAUCACCUCAUCAAAACGUUGUGCAGAAUUCACGAGUCCGCCAUGUCAGUUCAAGGUCAAGGUCACAGCUAACGGUCGAAGGUUUACCCUUUCACUGUCCAUAGCAGUGGCGGGGGAUUUAGCUGUCUUUCAGACUGCCUUGUUUGUUAACUGGUAAUUGGUCAAUUUCUUUAAUGACUAUCUUUCUUCCUAUUUCUUUAACCUGGCUGCUAUAUUGGCAGCAAGUAGCUAGCUUUUGAAUUCAGUUGUAUUUUUAGCUUGACUAUUCGAAGAAUAGUCCGAGCUAUGGCGUCAGCAUCACACCUUGGUUAAAGUUUUGCAUGCAAGUAUGUAUAGCUAUCAUUUAAAGGCAUAUAGCUUUGAAACUUAUUUUUUCUUUUUCUAGUUCAUUAACCAACCUCACAGGAUCAAGUCCCAUAACUCUGACAUGUAUUUUGGGCAAUUUAUGCCCCCUUUUGGACUUAGAAAAUCCUGAUUAAAGUUUUGCAUGCAAGUUACUAUCUCCAAAAUUAAUGCAGGUAUUGAACUAUCUUCAGGGUUAUAAAACUACUUGGUAGCAUCAAGUCCCAUAACUCUGAUAUGCAUUUUGGCCAAAUUAUGCCCACUUUUUGACUUAGAAAAUCCUGGUUUAAGUUUUGCAUGCAAGUACAUAUAGCUAUCAUUUAAAGGCAUAUACUGAUAUAGUUUUGAAACUUAUUUUUUCUUUUUCUAGGUCAUUAACCAACCUCACAGGAUCAAGUCCCAUCACUCUGAUAUGUAUUUUGGGCAGAUUAUCCCACUUUUAGACUUAAAAAGUCCUGGUUAAUUUUUAGCUCACCUGCUGUGUCAGGCGUCAAGAAUUGUGUUUAAAUGACAUCUCCUCCAAAACCACUGAAUGGAUUUUGAUGAAACUUGGCCUGGAUGUUCCUUGGGAGGUUCUCUACCAAAGUUGUCCAAAUGGUUCCGUUUGGUUGCACAUAGGGGCCACCAGAGCUAUAAAUAGAAAAAUCUUCAAACGACCUCUCCUCCUAAACCACUGGUCCGAUUUUGAAGUAAUUUCACACAAAUGGUUCUUACGUCACCCUCUACCAAGAUUUUUCAAAUUUUACUGAUUCGUCAAAAAACAUGGCCGCCAGGGGGCAUGGUCACUUUUCCCAAUAUAUAUAUAAUGGAAACUUUAAAAAUCUUCUUGUGUGAAACUGCUGCCCUGAUUUUAAAAUAAUUUAUCACAAAUGGUCCUUGUGAUACCCUCUACCAAGAUUGUUCAAAUUAUUUUGAUUCAUCAAAAAACAUGGCCGCCAGAGGGCAUGGUUACUUUUCCCUAUAUGUAUAUGUAUAUAGUGGAAACUUUAAAAAUCUUCUUGUGUGAAACUGCUUUCCUGAUUUUAAAAUAAUUAUACACAAAUGGUCCUUGUGUGACCCUCUACCAAGAUUAUUCAAAUUAUUCCGAUUCGUUAAAAAACAUGGCUGCCAGGAGGCGUGGUCACUUUUCCCUAUAUGUAUUUGGUGGAAAUUUAAAAAAUCUUCUUUUAUGAAACUGCUGCCAUGAUUUUAAAAUUAUUUUACAAAAGUUGUCAUUCUGUGACCCGCUGAUUAUUUUGAUUUGUCAGAGAGCCUGGUUACUUUUGCUUGUAUGUAUAUAGUAGAAACUUUAAAAAUUGUGUGACAUGUAUAUAAUAUAGGCUAAUAUAGAAGAAACCUCUGUAGUUGUACCAUUACAUUAUACAAAUGCACUUGAAGCCUUGUACAGGUGAGCGCUUUAGGGUCAAUGACCCUCUUGUUUGCAUGCAAGUUACUAUCUCAAAAACUAAUGCAAAAUAUUGAAUUGAAACUUCACGUUUCUUCAGGUUUAUAAAAUAGCAUGAAGUCCCAAAACUCUGACAUGUAUUUUGCAAAAUUAUGGCCUCUUUUGAACUUAAAAACUUCUGGUUUCUCCAAAAAUGCAGAUAGUAAAUUGAAACUAUGGAUAUUUUAACAUUUAUGGUACAAUUCCUGCUUCUGGGACAACAAUUUGAAUAGGUGAGCAUUGGCUGUCUUAUGGACAGCUCUUGCUUUUUCUUGGUAGGGGAUAAGAUGAUAAUGAUUUCUUUUUCUACAAACUUCUUCCAUGUUCCUUUCACAAGAUGGUGUAGAUGCUUUGUAUUUUCUUCAACUUCACUGGUUUCAGAUAACUCGAUACACUGCAAUAUCUGACUCUUCACCCUCAAAAUUUGAUUGCAAUUAACUGAUUCUUUUACACUAUAUUUUACUUUCCUCACAAUUUUAGCUUGACUAUACGAAGUAUAUGGAGAGCUAUCCUACUCACCCAGGCAUCAGCGUCUUUCCGCGUCCCCACCUUGGUUAAAGUUUUUUUACACUUUCUCUUUUUUCUCCUUAUCACUGUUAUUACUUGAUGGAUUUGCUUUAAACUUAAAAUAUUUAUUCACCAUCAUCACCCACAUCAUAUGGCACAAGGGCCUUAACUCUCACACCAAUAUUUCAUGAAUUAUCCCCUCCCUUUUUACUUAGAAUUUCAGGUUAGAGUUUUGAUGCACUUUCACUCUAUCUGUUAUUCCUAAAUAGAUUUGAUUCAAACUGAAAGUAGUUGUUCCACAUCAUAUGACACAAGGCCCAUAACUCUAGUACCAAUAUUUAAUGAAUUAUCCCCCCCUUUACUUAGAAGUUCAGGUUAAAGUUUUGAUGCACUUUCACUUUAUCUCAGUUAUUACUAAAUGGAUUCGAUUUAAACUUACUUAAAGUAGUUGUUCCACAUCAUUACUCACAUCAUAUGACACAAGGGCCAUAACUCUUGCACCAAUAUUUCAUGAAUUAUCCCCCCUUUUUACUUAGAAUUUCAUGUUAAAGUUUUGAUACACUUUCACUCUGUCUCAGUUCUUACUAAAUGGAUUUGAUUCAAACUUAAAAGUAGUGUUCUACCAUAUCACCCACAUCAUAUGACACAAGGUGCAUAACUCUUGCACCAAUUUUUAUGAAUUAUACCCCCUUUUUGCUUAGAAUUAUACUUAUGUAGUGUUUUGAUACACUUUAUCUUUACCUCUCUUAUUACUUAAUAUUUCUGACACAGACUCAAGCUAUUGUGCAAUAUCUUCAUCCACCAUUGGAGUUAUUAAUCUCCCGCCACGAGUGGUGGGGGAUUAUAGAAAUGGUCCGUCCGUCCUUCCGUGUCCACUCUGUAUCUCCUAAACCCCUUGAAGGAUUUUCAUGAAACUUGGGUCAAAUGAUAACCUUAUCAAGAUGAUGUGCAGAACCCAUGAGUCAGCCUUGUCGGCUCAAGGUCAAGGUCACAACUCAAGGUCAAAGUUUUGAGCCUUCCAUUUCGUGUCUGCCCUGCAUCUCCUAAACCCCUUGGAGGAAAAUCAUGAAACUUUCGAGACGAUGUGCAGAACCCAUAAGUCAGCCAUGUUGGCUCAAGGUCAAAGUCACAACUCGAGGUCAAAGGUUAGAGCCUUCAAUUUUGUGUCCGCUCUAUACCUCCUAAACCCCUUGAAGGAUAAUUAUGAAACUUGGGUCAAAUGAUCACCUCAUCAAGACAAUAUGCAGAACUCAUGAGUCAGCCAUGUUGGCUCAAUGUCAAGGUCACAACUCAAGGUAAAGGUUUCGAGUCUUCCAUUUUAUGUCUGCUCUGUAUCUCCUAAACCCCUUGAAGGAUUUUAAUAUGACUUGGCAGUAAUAUUCCCCUUAUCAAGACAAUGUGCAGAAUUCAAAACUCACCCCUGCCAGUUUAAGGUCAAGGUUACAACUUGGUUGUUUAAUGGUUCCACCCAGUACCAUAUAUCCUUUCACUAUCCAUAACAGUGGUGGGGGAUAUAGCUGUCUUUCAGACUGCCUUGUUAAACACUCCAGUAACAGCUCCAGUUUCCUCAGAUGUGCCGUUUCACUAUCCAGCAUCAGUAUAGUCGAGCGCGCUGUCUCCUGUGACAGCUCUUCUUAUUUCUACCUGUUGUAUAUUUAGAACUUGGUAUUAGAUGAACCAAAAAUUAACAUUCCAUUUUUCUUCUUCACUGGUUGCACAUAUUUGUAGCAUUUCAUAUCACAUUGUGUUUUUGUUGCAUUUCCUCUUAUAUAGAUUGACAGUGAGUGAUAUGGAUUAUAUCUCACUGAUAAAACACAGUUUUCAUCAGUGAGCAUAAAAUAAAUGCCUUUCUCUUCCUACAUUGAUAUAAUUUAAGCCAUCUUCUUCCUCUGUCAUACUCUAAAUACCAUACAGAAGCAGGUUGCCCUUGAAUCACAAUAAGCUUGUCUUAGAGACCAAUUAUAUAAUAUUAACAAGUCUUGCUAAAAAAAUAUGUUCUGCGUUAAAUCAGGACUUUCUUUUCUGUAUCUGUUAUAUAGAACAAAUGCAAACAAGUAAACUAACACUAUAAACAAAAUAAGACAAAAAACUAUAGAAAAAUAAAGUACAAAUAUGUGUCUUUGUUAUCUUAAUAGUAGCUAGCCAUAUGAUUAUGGCGAUAUAAAACAUAAGUGACUGAAUAUCAAAUUGAUAUCGAACUGAGUACUUACAUGUAUAUGAUUUUUACUAUAAUUAUAACUAACUUUCCCAUUCAAUCUAACUGAAAAAAAUUUAAAUUCUUUUUUAAAGAUAUAAACAUGUGCAUGACUUUGGAUUUUCUUCAUCUACUUUAAGACAUUCAAUAUAAUUGCCAGUAUCAGGUUGUUGGCCAUUUUCUGUCUGUCACUAUUCAGUUUGUAACCAUUUUCUAAUUCAAGGUUGGGAAUAUGUCGCCCACACAUCUAGAAUGUCUGUACUUAUUGUCAUAAGAUCUUUGUCAUUGUUCCUAUUGUAAUAUACUGAACAAAAUAAGUAGCAGUGUUUAAGUGCAGAUUUAAUUAUGAAAACAAGUUUAUAUGUAUUGUAAGAGAAAACAAGUUUAUAAUUAUGUAUUGCAAGAGUAUUUAAAUUUGAAUUUGUGUGGAAAAUUUUAUCGCUCUACAUUUACAGAAAACCGAUGAAAUGGUUGAUUAAAUACAUACCUGUCAAGUCUCGCGCAUUGGGCGUGAAAGUCACACAUUUCAGGUCCGAAUCACACUCUCACACACAUAUCAAAUUUUUACAUGCAAUUUCAACAAAUCAGAAAAAAAUAUUUAUUCAAUUAAGAGCUGUAUGUGAAAUGAUCAAAACUGAUCUAAAUUUUGAAGUUUUCAAAGUUGUUUUGAAGGCUACAUGAACUAUUAAAGGAAAGGUUGUCUUUGAUUGUUUGUUUUCUUAAACUUUUGCAUCCUGAAAUAAGCAUCUUUAGAGUCCAAAUGUAGUGCUAUUUUUAUGAAAAAUAGCCAAAAUCAAUCUCCGGGCAUCUACAGCUUCUGUGGACUUAGUCUCCCAGACCCCAUGACCAAGGGGCAACCGCCUCGUGGAACCCCAUCUAACUCCCUACAUACCUUAAUUAAGACCUUGACAGCUAUGUAAAUGUGGUAGGGGUUGUACACAAAAAUCACAUAUAGAUACAGGGAAUGGCUACCUUGAGCAUCGAGGACACAUGCCUGGCAUCGUUGGCACAUAGAACCGACAGGUACUUGUGUUGAUUUCAGCCUGUGGAAUGUUGUUAAUUCAUUGACGUUCGACGGUGGAAUAAGGCGACAUCUAACAGGCUGGUCCAAAUUAUCAAACAGAUGUUCGAUGGGAUUCAGAUCUGGGCAUUUGGCAGGCCAGUCAUUAAUGAUAAAUGCAAUGUUACUUGCACUGAGGAAAUUCACAAUAUCUCUAGCUGUAUGGCUUUAUCCUGUUGAAACAGUGAUAUUGAAAUUCCCAUUAAUCACGACUAGAUGUGUGCGAUAACCAUGUGCAAUGCCUGCCCAGACCAAGACGCAACCUCCACCCCCAAAAACGAUCUUGUUCAAGCACACAGCAGUCAGCAUAGUUGUGACUUCUACAGUGUUAACAGCCAAAUUUUUGACGACCCACAAUGCACGACUCUGGACACAGGGUGAUCAGAAUAGCUCAUCUAAAUAAAGUAUACAAUUUUUGUAUAGCAUUCACUGUUUCACGUUAUUUUUUCACUUACUGGCAAACAUUUUCGACCAGUUGAGCAUGCUGUCCUUCUGACAGCUUUUGUUUAAUUUGUACUCUUUUUGAGAUUUUUUGUGUAACUCGUCACGACUCUUUUUUGAUAUUUCUGUUAAACAUAUGUACUGAACUUGUAUUUUCUAUUGGCUAUAAUAAGCGUAUGCGUUAUAUAUUUUAUGUUGAAUAAAUUUUUUUGUAACUGUG